RNAcentral lists this unclassified non-coding RNA (20 nucleotides) under Chlamydomonas reinhardtii. RNAcentral's name for it is "small RNA Cre_0056". Lineage: Eukaryota; Viridiplantae; Chlorophyta; Chlorophyceae; Chlamydomonadales; Chlamydomonadaceae. The record is from RNAcentral.
AACGAGCGGUUCAGUGCGCU